RNAcentral lists this ribosomal RNA (472 nucleotides) under uncultured bacterium. Its description in RNAcentral is "bacterial SSU rRNA". It matches the Rfam family "Bacterial small subunit ribosomal RNA", at positions 355 to 825 of the family's 1533-position model. The record is from RNAcentral.
UGGGGAAUUUUGGACAAUGGGCGCAAGCCUGAUCCAGCCAUGCCGCGUGAGUGAAGAAGGCCUUCGGGUUGUAAAGCUCUUUCGGCGGGGACGAAACGGUUCGUGACAACACCACGGACUAAUGACGGUACCCGCAUAAGAAGCACCGGCUAACUUCGUGCCAGCAGCCGCGGUAAUACGAAGGGUGCAAGCGUUAAUCGGAAUUACUGGGCGUAAAGCGUGCGUAGAUGGCCGAUUAAGUCGGAUGUGAAAGCCCCGGGCUCAACCUGGGAACGGCAUCCGAUACUGGUGGGCUAGAGUGCGGUAGAGGAGAGCGGAAUUCCCGGUGUAGCGGUGAAAUGCGUAGAGAUCGGGAGGAACAUCCGUGGCGAAGGCGGCCCUCUGGACCAGCACUGACGUUGAGGCACGAAAGCGUGGGGAGCAAACAGGAUUAGAUACCCUUGUAGUCCCUGAGCGGGCUGGCAAGGCGCAU